This 228-nucleotide ribosomal RNA is filed under the name uncultured bacterium. RNAcentral describes it as "partial 16S ribosomal RNA". It matches the Rfam family "Bacterial small subunit ribosomal RNA", at positions 568 to 795 of the family's 1533-position model. The record is from RNAcentral.
AGCGCAGGCUGUUUGUCAAGUCAGAUGUGAAAGCCCACGGCUCAACCGUGGAAGUGCAUUUGAAACUGGCAGACUUGAGUAUCAGAGGGGAAAGUGGAAUUCCCGGUGUAGAGGUGAAAUUCGUAGAUAUCGGGAGGAAUACCGGUGGCGAAGGCGACUUUCUGGCUGAAUACUGACGCUGAGGCUCGAAAGCGUGGGGAGCAAACAGGAUUAGAUACCCUGGUAGUC